GUAGGUUUCAAAUAGCCAUAAAUGGGAAAGCUUCUCAAUGUGUUCUGAAAACUUGACAUUCUUAAAUGGUUAUUUAAACCCAAAGUAUUUCAUUUGAGUUAAACUUUGACCAACCCAGGUGACUAGUUUAUAGUUCUUGAAACCUUGUGGAAUACUUGGUAUCAGCAAAGACCACACACCCAGAUUCCUGGAGCAUGUCUUGUGUUUGUGUUUAAACACAACCCUGAAAUGUUUUCUUUCCUACCUAUUUCAGACACAUUCUUCUCAUCUGAAAGCUUUGUGUCUUACUCAACAACCUCUGUAUCUAAACUAUGCUGAAGAUACAUAGAAAAGAGAUGACAUCACAGAACUGAUUCUGUUCUUUUAGCUUUGUGUUUAGCUUAAGUUGAGCAUUUACAAUGAGUCAUACAAUCUUGUGACCAGCUGGGCACUUUUCCAAUCAGAGACUGUUAAGAUCUUUGACAACAGAACCUGCAGUUGUUUGAAGAAGACGUAUCAACAGUGACCUGGACGCUUGGUGAUACCAGACUUCUAUCAAAGGGGUUACUCUGAAAAUAAAUAUCUUACAGGUUUUCCAAUCAGAGAGAGGUGAGCAUUCAGAUGCCAGCAGCCACCUGGCCGGUGUGGGUCCCUUAUUGGCGGCAGACAUGCCAUUUGGAAAACCCUAGAGAGAGGUCCUUACUGAUCUCCAUCCAGCGAUCUCCAUCUCCAUGCGGUGAGGAUAUACCGGUGUGUCUGAGCCUCCAGUAAUCAUCUGGAGAUCUUGUUGAAAAAUAGGGUUUGGUGGGGGCAGGUCUGGGUGGGGACUGCUUCUGAUGGCUGCAAGCUGAUGAUGCCGCUGUUGCCAGUCCAGGGACCUCAUCUUGAAUGGGAAAGAUCUAAACUCCUCAAAUGAGAGAUUUUCUCAUAUUUAUUAAGACCCUGGUGAGGGACCAGAUUCCAUAACACUGGGGUCCCAAACUACUUUGUCCUGGGCAUAUUUGGGGUUCUUGUUCUUCUAGUACAAGAUCCAAAGCAUCCUGUUGCAUUGAACUUGGCUUCCUUGUAAGAUGAAGAGAAGAUGCUGGCUGGAGUCUUGGGUCCUUUUCAAUCAUCACAUGGCACACUUCCUUCAUUUAAAAGUAAUUUAAAUCAGGGAAUAUUCAGAAUUGUGUCCAUUAAAAUUGUGAUUAAUUAAAUUCUGUUCAGCUGAUUUGAAUCUCCUAUAAGACUAAGAAUCAAUAUGCUUCUGUUGUAUUAGGAAAAAUGUAUAACAGCAUUAGAACUGAUUAUCAAAAAUAGCUUAAUAUUCCAAAAAGAAAUUCAGUAACUCAUUGAUGAAUGAGUUUAGAAGCUGGCUGCAUAUCAUGUAAUCACCAAAAACUACAAUGUAGUUAAUGUUUCAGAAUUUGCUAAGAGAGUUUUGUUUUCAUUUCCUUAUGUUACAUUGACAGUAUAACAAAUCCAGUCAAGUUUUCUUAGACAAUACUGUGUUUGGUUUCUAUUCUCUUGUACUUUAGAACUCUGUUAGGAUUUUAUUUGUUGUAUCUUAAUAGCAAUGUUUCUUGCACAGGAACCUUUUAAUGGAAAUUCAC
Manis pentadactyla (Chinese pangolin) is the source of this 1574-nucleotide long non-coding RNA. RefSeq lists it as uncharacterized. The record is from RefSeq and is a predicted model, not a curated record. NCBI's taxonomy places the organism in Eukaryota, Metazoa, Chordata, Mammalia, Pholidota, Manidae. The transcript has 3 exons.